CACAGCAAGAAGAAGAACGCGUAAACCUUGGGCUGAGCACGAUAUCUUGGGGUGCAGUUACUCGUAGGGAUCCUGGGUUCGACGCGACGAAUCAUCGGGAGUCAUCGGGCUGUACUCUUGUUCUUUUACCGAUUGGCGAACAUCUUCAAGCGUCUCUGGGGAUCCUUCGCGAGAAACAGGGUUGAGGGCGCUAACAACUUGCCACGAUAUGGAUGCGAGAAAUGUUUCGUCACCGCUUCUAAGUUUGUUUCGACAAACUCGUAUCGGCGCUAAAAGGCAUUUAAAAGUCCUUGGACGGUUGGUGGCGUGACGUGCAGAGGCGUGUAAACGUCUUCGGACUCCUGACGGACGUAGAGCAUCACCCUCUCCUCGGCAUCCGCUGGACGAAGAUGGGGGGGUUGUUGUUGAAGGUGCAG
Long non-coding RNA from Hylaeus anthracinus, 416 nucleotides. RefSeq lists it as uncharacterized. Lineage: Eukaryota; Metazoa; Arthropoda; Insecta; Hymenoptera; Colletidae. The record is from RefSeq and is a predicted model, not a curated record. The transcript is spliced from 3 exons.